This 219-nucleotide ribosomal RNA is filed under the name Herbertia sp. D1981. RNAcentral describes it as "partial 28S ribosomal RNA". It matches the Rfam family "Eukaryotic large subunit ribosomal RNA", at positions 967 to 1163 of the family's 3401-position model. Lineage: Eukaryota; Metazoa; Arthropoda; Insecta; Hymenoptera; Herbertiidae. The record is from RNAcentral.
UUUCCCUCAGGAUAGCUGGCACUCGCUUGAGCGAGUCUCAUCUGGUAAAGCGAAUGAUUAGAGGCCUUGGGGCCGAAACGACCUCAACCUAUUCUCAAACUUUAAAUGGGUGAGAUCUCUGGCUUGCUUGAACGUUGAAGCCACGAGAUGCAUUAUAAAAUGCAACGGAUCAGAGUGCCAAGUGGGCCAAUUUUGGUAAGCAGAACUGGCGCUGUGGGA